This 380-nucleotide ribosomal RNA is filed under the name uncultured eukaryote. Its description in RNAcentral is "SSU rRNA". It matches the Rfam family "Eukaryotic small subunit ribosomal RNA", at positions 587 to 972 of the family's 1831-position model. The record is from RNAcentral.
AGCUCCAAUAGCGUAUAUUAAAGUUGUUGCAGUUAAAAAGCUCGUAGUUGGAUUUCUGAGUGUGCGUGGUGGUCCGCCGCAAGGCGAGCACUGCUGCGUGGGCUCUUCCUCUCGAAGACCGGGUGUGCUCUUGAUUGAGUGUGCCUCUGGGAUUCGGGACCUUUACUUUGAAAAAUUAGAGUGUUCAAAGCAAGCGUUUUGCCUGAAUACAUUAGCAUGGAAUAAUGGAAUAGGACUUUGGUUCUAUUUUGUUGGUUUCUAGGACCGAAGUAAUGAUUAAUAGGGACAGUUGGGGGCAUUCGUAUUUAAUUGUCAGAGGUGAAAUUCUUAGAUUUAUGAAAGACGAACUUCUGCGAAAGCAUUUGCCAAGGAUGUUUUCA